RNAcentral lists this ribosomal RNA (408 nucleotides) under uncultured bacterium. RNAcentral's name for it is "bacterial SSU rRNA". It matches the Rfam family "Bacterial small subunit ribosomal RNA", at positions 150 to 518 of the family's 1533-position model. The record is from RNAcentral.
AGGGAAACUUGGGCUAAUACCGCAUGAGUGCAGCGCAUAAAGCAUCUUUAGGUGGGUGUUUUAUGCGUUGCAUAAAAGGUGGCCUUCGGGCUGUCGUUUGAGGAUGAGUCUGCGUCCUAUUAGUUAGUUGGUGAGGUAAUGGCUCACCAAGGCGAUGAUAGGUAGGCGGCCUUAACGGGUGGCCGCCCACACUGGGAUUGAGAUACGGCCCAGACUCCUACGGGAGGCAGCAGUCGAGAAUAGUCUACAAUGGACGAAAGUCUGAUAGUGCGACGCCGCGUGAACGAAGAAUCCCUUCGGGGUGUAAAGUUUCCUUUUAUAUGUGAGCAAUGCUUUUUAUGUGAAUAGCAUGAGAAGAGAGAUAUUAGCAUAUGAAUAAGCAACGGCUAACUCCGUGCCAGCCGCCGC